AAUGUUCAGAAGAACACAAGGGGAGCCAAACCCUAGUUUUGAAAGAUCUUUAAAUUGAAGGGUGAAUCGAAGCUCAAACCUAUAAAUGAACAUGAAUUAAUGAUCACCUACACAAGGGGAUCAUGAGGGAUCAUGUCAAGAUGGAUGGAAGCAUGGAAGGCUAAAGGGUCAAAAGGAAGCAAGGAAACGGAUACGAAUAAAACGUUUAAGGUUGCACGGAAUUAAUAUCAUUGUGGAGAUUAAGAGGUUGAAGAUCGAGUCGAAGAGCAAGGAUUGUACGGGAAGAGCGGUCUCAUAGCUUGUAUUUAUGGUAUCACAUUUAACGCGUUAAUCAAGAAUGAAUGUUGUAAAUCCUUUCAAGAAGUGUCCGACAGAUUAUAAAUGAACCUUUAAGUAUGUCAUAUAGACAAUAUAAGAAAGAAUUUUUUAGUCGGU
Molecule: long non-coding RNA, 435 nt
Organism: Helianthus annuus (common sunflower)
Lineage: Eukaryota; Viridiplantae; Streptophyta; Magnoliopsida; Asterales; Asteraceae
Exons: 3
Source: RefSeq, a predicted model, not a curated record